AAGUAUCUCGGUAUGUAAACUUCUAUCAGCAAGGAAGAAAAUGACGGUACCUGACUAAGAAGCCCCGGCUAACUACGUGCCAGCAGCCGCGGUAAUACGUAGGGGGCAAGCGUUAUCCGGAAUUACUGGGUGUAAAGGGUGCGUAGGUGGCAUGGUAAGUCAGAAGUGAAAGCCCGGGGCUUAACCCCGGGACUGCUUUUGAAACUGUCAUGCUGGAGUGCAGGAGAGGUAAGCGGAAUUCCUAGUGUAGCGGUGAAAUGCGUAGAUAUUAGGAGGAACACCAGUGGCGAAGGCGGCUUACUGGACUGUCACUGACACUGAUGCACGAAAGCGUGGGGAGCAAACAGG
This 348-nucleotide ribosomal RNA is filed under the name uncultured Anaerostipes sp. RNAcentral's name for it is "bacterial SSU rRNA". It matches the Rfam family "Bacterial small subunit ribosomal RNA", at positions 411 to 776 of the family's 1533-position model. The record is from RNAcentral. Lineage: Bacteria; Bacillati; Bacillota; Clostridia; Lachnospirales; Lachnospiraceae.